This 93-nucleotide transfer RNA is filed under the name Salmonella enterica subsp. enterica serovar Typhimurium. RNAcentral's name for it is "tRNA-Ser". It matches the Rfam family "tRNA". From Rfam's summary of the family: Transfer RNA (tRNA) molecules are approximately 80 nucleotides in length. Their secondary structure includes four short double-helical elements and three loops (D, anti-codon, and T loops). The record is from RNAcentral. Lineage: Bacteria; Pseudomonadati; Pseudomonadota; Gammaproteobacteria; Enterobacterales; Enterobacteriaceae.
GGUGAGGGGGCCGAGAGGCUGACGGCGCCCCCCUGCUAAGGGAGUAUGCGGUCAAAAGCUGCAUCGGGGGUUCAAACCCCCGCCUCACCGCCA